Molecule: non-coding RNA, 135 nt
Filed under: Desulfosporosinus sp.
Lineage: Bacteria; Bacillati; Bacillota; Clostridia; Eubacteriales; Desulfitobacteriaceae
Description: MoCo sequence
Rfam family: Molybdenum/Tungsten riboswitch aptamer (Moco RNA motif)
Source: RNAcentral
UGAAUAAUUAAUCUCCGAGCCAGAAUGACCUAAAGAGGCAAAUCUAUGGUCACUGGACAGGAUCUAGGUCCUCAGGGUGUUCCUGGAAACAGGUAUGCCUUCACAUUUUGAAAAGGAGUAGCACGUAUUAGACUG